This 220-nucleotide long non-coding RNA is filed under the name Phoenix dactylifera (date palm). Its description in RNAcentral is "long non-coding RNA (PDAC_LNC006089)". The record is from RNAcentral. Lineage: Eukaryota; Viridiplantae; Streptophyta; Magnoliopsida; Arecales; Arecaceae.
GAAGAGGUGCAGUCUUCUUAUAGAAGCACCGGAGAGCCAAAUAGUUGGUCCGACCACACACAUAACCGAAACGAACACCACCUUCCUUUUUCUUCUUCUUCUGCUCUUGGGAUUGGAUAGGUUUUCCAUUGUAGUGGUUAGGAUUUCUCGGGUUGCAGAGCUUCUUUUUGUAAUGCUUAUUUUUGAAGGAUCGGUUCUAAUUUUUCCUAGGUGGGGCCUC